Molecule: ribosomal RNA, 269 nt
Filed under: uncultured archaeon
Lineage: Archaea
Description: partial 16S ribosomal RNA
Rfam family: Archaeal small subunit ribosomal RNA
Source: RNAcentral
CAGCGCCACGAGUGGCAAUCGUGUAUUUGGCCUAAAGCGUCCGUAGCCGGAUUUGUAAAUCUUUUGUGAAAUCGUUGAGCUCAACUUAACGGCGUGCAGAAGACACUGCAGAUCUCGAGACCGGGAGGAGAUAGAGGUAUUCUAGGGGGAGCGGUAAAAUGCUAUAAUCCCUGGAGGACCACCAGUGGCGAAGGCGUCUGUCCAGAACGGAUCUGACGGUGAGGGACGAAAGCCAGGGGAGCGAACCGGAUUAGAUACCCGCGUAGUCC